GACUCGCACACGUGGCCACUCUCU
RNAcentral lists this non-coding RNA (24 nucleotides) under Arabidopsis thaliana (thale cress). The record is from RNAcentral. Lineage: Eukaryota; Viridiplantae; Streptophyta; Magnoliopsida; Brassicales; Brassicaceae.